GGUGAACGCUGGCGGCGUGCCUAAUACAUGCAAGUCGAGCGCCCCUUUCAUAGAUCUCAAUUAGUUUGAGGCCUGUGAUGGGGAGCGGCGGACGGGUGAGUAACGCGUUGGAAUCUGCCCCAAACUGAGGGAUAAGCACCGGAAACGGUGUCUAAUACCGCAUAUGGACUUCGGUUUAAAGCUUCGGCGGUUUGGGAGGAUCCUGCGUCCUAUUAGCUUGUUGGUAAGGUAAAAGCUUACCAAGGCGAUGAUGGGUAGCUGGUCUGAGAGGAUGAUCAGCCACACUGGAACUGAGACACGGUCCAGACUUCUACGGAAGGCAGCAGUAGGGAAUUUUCCACAAUGGGGGCAACCCUGAUGGAGCAACGCCGCGUGCAGGAUGAAGGCCUUAGGGUUGUAAACUGCUUUUAUUUGUGAUGAUUUUGACAGUAGCAAAUGAAUAAGGAUCGGCUAACUCCGUGCCAGCAGCCGCCGUAACAC
Molecule: ribosomal RNA, 480 nt
Filed under: uncultured bacterium
Lineage: Bacteria
Description: bacterial SSU rRNA
Rfam family: Bacterial small subunit ribosomal RNA
Source: RNAcentral